This 468-nucleotide ribosomal RNA is filed under the name uncultured bacterium. Its description in RNAcentral is "partial 16S ribosomal RNA". It matches the Rfam family "Bacterial small subunit ribosomal RNA", at positions 28 to 507 of the family's 1533-position model. The record is from RNAcentral.
GACGAACGCUGGCGGCGUGCUUAACACAUGCAAGUCGAACGGAAAGGCCCUGCUUUUGUGGGGUGCUCGAGUGGCGAACGGGUGAGUAACACGUGAGUAACCUGCCCUUGACUUUGGGAUAACUUCAGGAAGCUGGGGCUAAUACCGGAUAGGAGCUCCUGCUGCAUGGUGGGGGUUGGAAAGUUUCGGCGGUUGGGGAUGGACUCGCGGCUUAUCAGCUUGUUGGUGGGGUAGUGGCUUACCAAGGCUUUGACGGGUAGCCGGCCAGAGAGGGUGACCGGCCACAUUGGGACUGAGAUACGGCCCAGACUCCUACGGGAGGCAGCAGUGGGGAAUAUUGCACAAUGGGCGGAAGCCUGAUGCAGCAACGCCGCGUGCGGGAUGACGGCCUUCGGGUUGUAAACCGCUUUCGCCUGUGACGAAGCGUGAGUGACGGUAAUGGGUAAAGAAGCACCGGCUAACUACGUG